UGCAUCGGUGGUGACUACUGCUGACUUCUGAAUUAUAAAUGAUGAAUACUUUCCCUGAAAGUCUGAGGUCUUU
Molecule: small nucleolar RNA, 73 nt
Filed under: Chinchilla lanigera (long-tailed chinchilla)
Lineage: Eukaryota; Metazoa; Chordata; Mammalia; Rodentia; Chinchillidae
Description: Small nucleolar RNA SNORD113/SNORD114 family (ENSCLAG00000019161.1)
Rfam family: Small nucleolar RNA SNORD113/SNORD114 family
About the family: The imprinted human domain at 14q32 contains two clusters of tandemly repeated small nucleolar RNAs named 14q(I) and 14q(II) snoRNAs. These two clusters are named SNORD113 and SNORD114 respectively in the HGNC approved gene symbol nomenclature.
Source: Rfam by way of RNAcentral